This 781-nucleotide ribosomal RNA is filed under the name uncultured archaeon. RNAcentral describes it as "bacterial SSU rRNA". It matches the Rfam family "Archaeal small subunit ribosomal RNA", at positions 137 to 919 of the family's 1478-position model. The record is from RNAcentral.
AAACUGAGAAUAAUGCCCGAUAGAACAUUAUGCCUGGAAUGGUUUAUGUUUCAAAUGAUUUAUCGCCAUAGGAUGGGACUGCGGCCUAUCAGUUUGUUGGUGAGGUAAUGGCCCACCAAGACUAUUACAGGUACGGGCUCUGAGAGGAGUAGCCCGGAGAUGGGUACUGAGACACGGACCCAGGCCCUAUGGGGCGCAGCAGGCGAGAAAACUUUGCAAUGUGCGAAAGCACGACAAGGUUAAUCCGAGUGGUUUCUGCUAAAGAAACCUUUUGUCAGUCCUAGAAACACUAACGAAUAAGGGGUGGGCAAGUCCUGGUGUCAGCCGCCGCGGUAAAACCAGCACCUCAAGUGGUCAGGAUGAUUAUUGGGCCUAAAGCAUCCGUAGCUCGUUUUGUAAGUUUUCGGUUAAAUCCAUGCGCUUAACGUAUGGGCUGCCGGGAAUACUGCAUAACUAGGAAGUGGGAGAGGUAGACGGUACUCGGGAGGAAGGGGUAAAAUCCUUUGAUCUCUUGAUGACCACCUGUGGCGAAGGCGGUCUACCAGAACACGUUCGACGGUGAGGGAUGAAAGCUGGGGGAGCAAACCGGAUUAGGUACCCGGGUAGUCCCAGCUGUAAACUAUGCAAACUCAGUGAUGCAUUGGCUUAUGGCCAAUGCAGUGCUGCAGGGAAGCUGUUAAGUUUGCCGCCUGGGAAGUACGUACGCAAGUAUGAAACUUAAAGGAAUUGGCGGGGGAGCACCACAAGGGGUGAAGCCUGCGGUUCAAUUGGAGUCAACGCC